GACGAACGCUGGCGGCGUGCUUAACACAUGCAAGUCGAACGGAAAGGCCCUGCUUGCAGGGUACUCGAGUGGCGAACGGGUGAGUAACACGUGGGUGAUCUGCCCUGCACUUCGGGAUAAGCCUGGGAAACUGGGUCUAAUACCGGAUAGGAGCCAUUUUUAGUGUGAUGGUUGGAAAGUUUUUUCGGUGUAGGAUGAGCUCGCGGCCUAUCAGCUUGUUGGUGGGGUAAUGGCCUACCAAGGCGGCGACGGGUAGCCGGACUGAGAGGGUGGACGGCCAUAUUGGGACUGAGGGACGGCCCAGACUCCUACGGGAGGCAGCAGGGGGGAAUAUUGCACAAUGGGCGCAAGCCUGAUGCAGCGACGCCGCGUGGGGGAUGACGGCCUUCGGGUUGUAAAAUCCUUUCGCUAGGGACGAAGCUUUUUGUGACGGUACCUAGAGAAGAAGCACCGGCUAACUACGUG
Molecule: ribosomal RNA, 465 nt
Filed under: uncultured bacterium
Lineage: Bacteria
Description: partial 16S ribosomal RNA
Rfam family: Bacterial small subunit ribosomal RNA
Source: RNAcentral